RNAcentral lists this ribosomal RNA (1372 nucleotides) under uncultured bacterium. Its description in RNAcentral is "bacterial SSU rRNA". It matches the Rfam family "Bacterial small subunit ribosomal RNA", at positions 28 to 1381 of the family's 1533-position model. The record is from RNAcentral.
GAUGAACGCUGGCGGCGUGCCUAAUACAUGCAAGUCGAGCGAACGGACGAGAAGCUUGCUUCUCUGAUGUUAGCGGCGGACGGGUGAGUAACACGUGGAUAACCUACCUAUAAGACUGGGAUAACUUCGGGAAACCGGAGCUAAUACCGGAUAAUAUUUUGAACCGCAUGGUUCAAAAGUGAAAGACGGUCUUGCUGUCACUUAUAGAUGGAUCCGCGCUGCAUUAGCUAGUUGGUAAGGUAACGGCUUACCAAGGCAACGAUGCAUAGCCGACCUGAGAGGGUGAUCGGCCACACUGGAGCUGAGACACGGUCCAGACUCCUACGGGAGGCAGCAGUAGGGAAUCUUCCGCAAUGGGCGAAAGCCUGACGGAGCAACGCCGCGUGAGUGAUGAAGGUCUUCGGAUCGUAAAACUCUGUUAUUAGGGAAGAACAUAUGUGUAAGUAACUGUGCACAUCUUGACGGUACCUAAUCAGAAAGCCACGGCUAACUACGUGCCAGCAGCCGCGGUAAUACGUAGGUGGCAAGCGUUAUCCGGAAUUAUUGGGCGUAAAGCGCGCGUAGGCGGUUUUUUAAGUCUGAUGUGAAAGCCCACGGCUCAACCGUGGAGGGUCAUUGGAAACUGGAAAACUUGAGUGCAGAAGAGGAAAGUGGAAUUCCAUGUGUAGCGGUGAAAUGCGCAGAGAUAUGGAGGAACACCAGUGGCGAAGGCGACUUUCUGGUCUGUAACUGACGCUGAUGUGCGAAAGCGUGGGGAUCAAACAGGAUUAGAUACCCUGGUAGUCCACGCCGUAAACGAUGAGUGCUAAGUGUUAGGGGGUUUCCGCCCCUUAGUGCUGCAGCUAACGCAUUAAGCACUCCGCCUGGGGAGUACGACCGCAAGGUUGAAACUCAAAGGAAUUGACGGGGACCCGCACAAGCGGUGGAGCAUGUGGUUUAAUUCGAAGCAACGCGAAGAACCUUACCAAAUCUUGACAUCCUUUGACAACUCUAGAGAUAGAGCUUUCCCCUUCGGGGGACAAAGUGACAGGUGGUGCAUGGUUGUCGUCAGCUCGUGUCGUGAGAUGUUGGGUUAAGUCCCGCAACGAGCGCAACCCUUAAGCUUAGUUGCCAUCAUUAAGUUGGGCACUCUAAGUUGACUGCCGGUGACAAACCGGAGGAAGGUGGGGAUGACGUCAAACCAUCAUGCCCCUUAUGAUUUGGGCUACACACGUGCUACAAUGGACAAUACAAAGGGCAGCGAAACCGUGAGGUCAAGCAAAUCCCAUAAAGUUGUUCUCAGUUCGGAUUGUAGUCUGCAACUCGACUACAUGAAGCUGGAAUCGCUAGUAAUCGUAGAUCAGCAUGCUACGGUGAAUACGUUCCCGGGUCU